This 848-nucleotide long non-coding RNA is filed under the name Mytilus galloprovincialis (Mediterranean mussel). Lineage: Eukaryota; Metazoa; Mollusca; Bivalvia; Mytilida; Mytilidae. The record is from RNAcentral.
UAUUACCUUUACAAUGUAAUGUAGAAUCAUCUGCAUAUAAAUCUAUUAAUGAAUGUUCUAUAUUAAGUGGUAAAUCAUUGAUAUAUAAAAUAAAUAACAAAGGGCCCAGGAUAGAACCUUGUGGUACCCCAGUUUUUAUGCAUUUAGUAUUAGACAUGACGUUAUUGACCUUAACUUGUUGGCUUCGUUCAAACAAGUAUGACUUAAACCAGUCUAGUGUACAAUUUGAAACAUUAUAAUAUUCAAGUUUUUUCAAUAAAAUUAUAUGAUUAACCAGAUCAAAAGCUUUCUUUAAAUCUAAAAAUAUAACUCCGUUUAUCUCUCCAUUAUCUAUAUUUGCCAACCAUUCAUCUACUAAUUUAGUAAGUGCAGUAGUACACGAAUGUUUAGGUCUGAAACCUGACUGUGUAGUAUUAAGAAGGUCAUUACUAUUUAAAAAUAUAUACAAACUAUUAGCUAUAUGUCGUUCUAUGAUUUUUGAGAGACAAGGCAAAACUGCUAUUGGUCUAUAAUUAUCAGGAUUACAGGCAUCGCCACUUUUAAAAAUUGGGCAAACUCUUGCAGUUUUAAAAAUACUUGGAAAUUUACCACUUUUGAUGCUUAGAUUAAAUAUAUAUGUCAAGGCUGGUGCAAUGACAUCGCUGCACAUACUUAAAAUAUUUGGUCCGACAUCAUCUAAACCAGUUGCUUUAGACUUGUCAAGUUUUUUUAAAUACAUGUUUACAUCUAAAAUACUCAUUUCUGGUAUAAUGAAUUUUUCACUACCCGUUUGUAACUUUGAUUUUACAAAUUUAUUGAGUGCAUCAAAUCUGGCACCAUCAUCAUUAUUACAUAAUUUGUCAUCAACU